This 465-nucleotide ribosomal RNA is filed under the name uncultured bacterium. Its description in RNAcentral is "partial 16S ribosomal RNA". It matches the Rfam family "Bacterial small subunit ribosomal RNA", at positions 338 to 795 of the family's 1533-position model. The record is from RNAcentral.
CCUACGGGAGGCUGCAGUGGGGAAUAUUGCGCAAUGGGCGAAAGCCUGACGCAGCGACGCCGCGUGAGGGAUGAAGGUCUUCGGAUCGUAAACCUCUGUCAGCAGGGAAGAACAGUCACUGUGCUAAUCAGCAGUGAAUUGACGGUACCUGCAAAGGAAGCACCGGCUAACUCCGUGCCAGCAGCUGCGGUAAUACGGAGGGUGCGAGCGUUAAUCGGAAUUACUGGGCGUAAAGGGCUCGUAGGCGGUAUGUCAAGUCAAUGGUGAAAUCCCCGCGCUCAACGUGGGAACUGCCUUUGAAACUGGCAAACUUGAGUGUGGUAGAGGAUAGUGGAAUUCCAGGUGUAGGAGUGAAAUCCGUAGAUAUCAGGAGGAACACCAGUGGCGAAGGCGACUAUCUGGCACAUAACUGACACUGAGGAGCGAAAGCGUGGAUAGCAAACAGGAUUAGAUACCCUAGUAGUC